RNAcentral lists this ribosomal RNA (528 nucleotides) under uncultured bacterium. RNAcentral's name for it is "bacterial SSU rRNA". It matches the Rfam family "Bacterial small subunit ribosomal RNA", at positions 28 to 536 of the family's 1533-position model. The record is from RNAcentral.
GGCUAACGCUGGCGGCGUGUCUUAGCCAUGCAAGUCGAGCGGACUUAUGGGGUAACUUAUAAGUCAGCGGCGGACGGCGGAGUAACACGUAGCUAACCUACCCUCUGGACGGGGAUAACCUACCGAAAGGUGGGCUAAUACCCGAUGUAGUCAUCCUGUAUAGGGGUGAUGAAAGGUGGGCUUCUGUUUACAAGCUCAUGCUGGAGGAGGGGGCUGCGGCCUAUCAGGUAGUUGGUAGGGUAAUAGCCUACCAAGCCGAUGACGGGUAGCCGGCCUGAGAGGGUGACCGGCCCGAGGGGCACUGAGAUACGGGUCCCACUCCUACGGGAGGCAGCAGGCUAGAAAUUUGGGCAAUGGGGGAAACCCUGACCCAGUGACGCCGCGUGCAGGAAGGAGCCCUUCGGGGUGUAAAACUGCUGUCGUGUAGGGAGAAGGGUACUAAGGUGAACAAUCUUAGUACUUGACGGUACUACAGGAGGAAGCCCAGGCUAACCUCGUGCCAGCAGCCGCGGUAAACCAGUAUAGUCU